UGUUUACUACUUUUGCAGUUGCUGAUAAUGCAGAUUCUGACAGCUCAGACUCAGUUUGAGGGAGAGCCUCCUCCUCUCCCUGGCUGCCACCACAGCCUUCUGAAGAAGUGUGCAAAGGGACCUCAUGCUCCAAGCAUGGACAAGUCACGCUCAGUCUCAAGACAUAUGCUAACUCUUCUGAGCCCCCGAAUACCGUGCCCCUGGGAAAAGCUGAAGAACUACAAGUCCCCUGGUACUGCACUGUGCCCACCAAAGACCCAAGAGGGCAGAGGGAUGCUGGGAAUUUAACCAAGUCAUCUGACUCAGACACUGUAAAACAUGGGGCAGAGCUUUCUGUGUAGUGAAGAGUUAGGCAGCUGAAAUUCAAUCUCUGUGAAGUGAUAAGCCUUAAUUUCUGAGAACUCCAUUACUAAGAUCUUUAACUCAA
This 427-nucleotide long non-coding RNA is filed under the name Cavia porcellus (domestic guinea pig). RNAcentral's name for it is "lncRNA (ENSCPOG00000039876.1)". The record is from RNAcentral. Lineage: Eukaryota; Metazoa; Chordata; Mammalia; Rodentia; Caviidae.